AAUCAUGUUAUCCAGUAAUUAGAAAUAGAAUACAUGGUAAUAUAUAUGGUAAUUGAAUUGGAAGUUAGCUCAUAUGGUUAUAUGUAUGCAAAAUAGUUAGAUAUAUGGAAAUUAUCAAAGAUAGCUAAUUGAGAUGGGUUUGUUAGUAUAAUAUGUAUUGAAUUAAUUAUGGGUUUAGUUUUGAUAAUGAUUAUGUUAUGCUAUCAAGUUAUGGG
Molecule: long non-coding RNA, 215 nt
Filed under: Panax ginseng (ginseng)
Lineage: Eukaryota; Viridiplantae; Streptophyta; Magnoliopsida; Apiales; Araliaceae
Description: long non-coding RNA (PGIN_LNC010335)
Source: RNAcentral